AUGCAAGUCGAGCGGGCGUAGCAAUACGUCAGCGGCAGACGGGUGAGUAACGCGUGGGAACGUACCUUUUGGUUCGGAACAACACAGGGAAACUUGUGCUAAUACCGGAUAAGCCCUUACGGGGAAAGAUUUAUCGCCGAAAGAUCGGCCCGCGUCUGAUUAGCUAGUUGGUAGGGUAAUGGCCUACCAAGGCGACGAUCAGUAGCUGGUCUGAGAGGAUGAUCAGCCACAUUGGGACUGAGACACGGCCCAAACUCCUACGGGAGGCAGCAGUGGGGAAUAUUGGACAAUGGGGGCAACCCUGAUCCAGCCAUGCCGCGUGAGUGAUGAAGGCCCUAGGGUUGUAAAGCUCUUUUGUGCGGGAAGAUAAUGACGGUACCGCAAGAAUAAGCCCCGGCUAACUUCGUGCCAGCAGCCGCGGUAAUACGAAGGGGGCUAGCGUUGCUCGGAAUCACUGGGCGUAAAGGGUGCGUAGGCGGGUCUUUAAGUCAGGGGUGAAAUCCUGGAGCUCAACUCCAGAACUGCCUUUGAUACUGAAGAUCUUGAGUCCGGGAGAGGUGAGUGGAACUGCGAGUGUAGAGGUGAAAUUCGUAGAUAUUCGCAAGAGCACCAGUGGCGAAGGC
This 623-nucleotide ribosomal RNA is filed under the name Bradyrhizobium japonicum. Its description in RNAcentral is "bacterial SSU rRNA". It matches the Rfam family "Bacterial small subunit ribosomal RNA", at positions 55 to 722 of the family's 1533-position model. Lineage: Bacteria; Pseudomonadati; Pseudomonadota; Alphaproteobacteria; Hyphomicrobiales; Nitrobacteraceae. The record is from RNAcentral.